UACGGAGGAGGCAAGCGUUAUCCGGAAUUAUUGGGCGUAAAGCGUCCGUAGGUGGCCAUGCAAGUCUGCUGUCAAAGCAUGGAGCUUAACUCCAUAGAGGCAGUGGAAACUGAAUAGCUAGAGUUCGGUAGGGGUAGCGGGAAUUCCCAGUGUAGCGGUGAAAUGCGUAGAGAUUGGGAAGAACAUCGAUGGCGAAAGCGCGCUACUGGGCCGAAACUGACACUGAGGGACGAAAGCUAGGGGAGCGAACAGG
RNAcentral lists this ribosomal RNA (253 nucleotides) under uncultured bacterium. RNAcentral's name for it is "partial 16S ribosomal RNA". It matches the Rfam family "Bacterial small subunit ribosomal RNA", at positions 524 to 776 of the family's 1533-position model. The record is from RNAcentral.